Molecule: ribosomal RNA, 453 nt
Filed under: uncultured bacterium
Lineage: Bacteria
Description: bacterial SSU rRNA
Rfam family: Bacterial small subunit ribosomal RNA
Source: RNAcentral
AGAGGUUUGAUCCUGGCUCAGAACGAACGCUGGCGGCAUGCCUAACACAUGCAAGUCGAACGAGACCUUCGGGUCUAGUGGCGCACGGGUGCGUAACGCGUGGGAACCUGCCUUAGGUUCGGAAUAACUCAGAGAAAUUUGAGCUAAUACCGGAUAAUGUCUUCGGACCAAAGAUUUAUCGCCUUUAGAUGGGCCCGCGUAAGAUUAGCUAGUUGGUGGGGUAAAAGGCCUACCAAGGCGACGAUCUUUAGCUGGUCUGAGAGGAUGAUCAGCCACACUGGGACUGAGACACGGCCCAGACUCCUACGGGAGGCAGCAGUGGGGAAUAUUGGACAAUGGGCGAAAGCCUGAUCCAGCAAUGCCGCGUGAGUGAUGAAGGCCUUAGGGUUGUAAAGCUCUUUACCCGAGAUGAUAAUGACAGUAUCGGGAGAAUAAGCUCCGGCUAACUCCGUG